RNAcentral lists this unclassified non-coding RNA (240 nucleotides) under soil metagenome. RNAcentral's name for it is "partial contains 5.8S ribosomal RNA, internal transcribed spacer 2, and large subunit ribosomal RNA". The record is from RNAcentral.
AACACUGUUAACCUGCGGUACCUGCGGAAGGAUCAUUACGAGAGUGUCACCACUCCCAACCCAUUGUUUACCUACCCGUCCACCGUGCUUCGGCAGGCAGCCCUGUGGGACAGAGCCUCGCCCCCCUCCGCGGGGGGUGCCUGCCGCUGGCCAACCAACAACUCUAGCUGUUUUAGUACCAUCUGAGUCUUCCACAAAUGAACAAAACUUUCAGCAACGGAUCUCAGAUCGGAAGAGCAC